Molecule: long non-coding RNA, 1211 nt
Organism: Mercurialis annua (annual mercury)
Lineage: Eukaryota; Viridiplantae; Streptophyta; Magnoliopsida; Malpighiales; Euphorbiaceae
Exons: 9
Source: RefSeq, a predicted model, not a curated record
UCUACGUAAAUUAAGGGUGAAAAAGGAAAUUUGUAAAUUUCUUUCACGAUGCUCACUCUCUUAUCACAUUUUAUCACUUUCACAACGAUUCAAAUGUUUUUCUUCGAUCCUUUUUUGUUCCUUUUCAGCCAUAUUAUAACGAUUCAUGGGUGAUUCAAAGAUUAAUUGAUUCAGCGAUACAUAAUCUUCUUCUUUGCUGAUUUGUUCAUCGAUUCAGAAAUCUAUAGUGGUGCUCAAAAUCCGUGGGAAUCGAUUGUGAGGUUUUAGCUUACUCUCCUCUUCCAUUUGCAGAUCUUAUUUUCCACUCUCCGUCUCUCUUUAUCACUCCGGUCAGAUCCAGGAAACAGUUUACCGAAAAAGAUCAUCGUGUGCUACUUUUCUCAUCAAUUUUGGCACCACGGAGAAAGAUAAUGUUCAAUGGCAAUUCGUUCAAUUUUCCAGACUCCAAGAAUGUAGUUCUGAAUACCAAAGGUUAUAACAUAUUUUGAAGCAACCUGAACCUAGUACUUGGUGAAUGGAUCUCAUGGGCAAAGUAUGUCAAUGGUUUUCUGUUCCUUUUUGUGAAUUUUGGAACAAACUCUGGUAGAAGUUGAAAAUCAUAAAUGAGAAACAUUCGAAGCUGAGAAGACUUCCACUAAGGCUCUUUGUCAGGCAAAAGCAUUAUCAAGCUUGUAGUCUCAAGAACUUACAUUCUAUAAAUCUCCAAGAACAAGAAAAUUGUUGGAUUUGAUAACGAAAAAGCCUCUAUGCUACAGUGAAAGAACUUGUUGAGAAUUUGAUUGAUUCUGCAAGUCCAUAUUUGAGCUUCCCUUGUGGAGAUUACCAUUAAAGAGAUAGGAAAAAGAAAAUUCAAUACUAUGAUUGGUCUUGUUGACCGGGAUCGUGUUGAUGCGGAACUUUAUGAUGAUUAUGUGGCAGCUAAGGCUGGUGAGAUUCAUUUAGUGUUUCAGCUUCUGCAACAACUCCAAGGGAAUUAGUUUCAUCGAAGAUUUUCUAUGUCGUUAAAGAUAAAUGAGCAGUGAAAUCAAGACUCAUAGAAGGCUAGAGAUCAAAAGCUGAUAGAGUUGAAGCAUAAAUAAAUUAGCUUAAAUAUAUAAAUUAUGAAUUUGUGGGUGCUUUUUUAACUUGAGAUAUCAAUUUAAGGAUAUAAAUUAAAUGUUAUGAUAUUUAAAUUUUUGUUCAAUUUAACAUUUAGCUUGAGUUUCACUAAA